UAGGAAGUGGUGUAAUGGAAGCGCUGAGGGUUUUGAUCUCUCAAGUAUGGGUUCGAGUCCCUUCUUUCUAA
This 71-nucleotide transfer RNA is filed under the name Ophichthus rotundus. Its description in RNAcentral is "tRNA-Gln". It matches the Rfam family "tRNA". From Rfam's summary of the family: Transfer RNA (tRNA) molecules are approximately 80 nucleotides in length. Their secondary structure includes four short double-helical elements and three loops (D, anti-codon, and T loops). The record is from RNAcentral. Lineage: Eukaryota; Metazoa; Chordata; Actinopteri; Anguilliformes; Ophichthidae.